RNAcentral lists this ribosomal RNA (491 nucleotides) under uncultured bacterium. RNAcentral describes it as "partial 16S ribosomal RNA". It matches the Rfam family "Bacterial small subunit ribosomal RNA", at positions 29 to 507 of the family's 1533-position model. The record is from RNAcentral.
GUGCACGCUGGCGGUAGGCCUCACACCUGCCAGUCGAACGGCAGCACAGUAAGAGCUUGCUCUUACGGGUGGCGAGUGGCGGACGGGUGAGGAAUACAUCGGAAUCUACUUUUUCGUGGGGGAUAACGUAGGGAAACUUACGCUAAUACCGCAUACGACCUACGGGUGAAAGCAGGGGAUCUUCGGACCUUGCUCGAUUGAAUGAGCCGAUGUCGGAUUAGCUAGUUGGCGGGGUAAAGGCCCACCACGGCGACGAUCCGUAGCUGGUCUGAGAGGAUGAUCAGCCACACUGGAACUGAGACACGGUCCAGACUCCUACGGGAGGCAGCAGUGGGGAAUAUUGGACAAUGGGCGCAAGCCUGAUCCAGCCAUACCGCGUGGGUGAAGAAGGCCUUCGGGUUGUAAAGCCCUUUUGUUGGGAAAGAAAAGCAGCAGGUUAAUACCCCGCUGUUCUGACGGUACCCAAAGAAUAAGCACCGGCUAACUUCGUG